RNAcentral lists this ribosomal RNA (470 nucleotides) under uncultured fungus. Its description in RNAcentral is "eukaryotic LSU rRNA". The stretch from base 115 to 269 matches the Rfam family "5.8S ribosomal RNA". The record is from RNAcentral. Lineage: Eukaryota; Fungi.
CAUUAGAGAUUCGUGGCGCAAGCCACAACCCACACACACACCGUGAACCGUGGGCCUCGGCCCCAUUACAAACUAUUGUUGUAUCAGAACGUGAAACAUAUGUAACAAUGAAAAAACUUUCAACAACGGAUCUCUUGGCUCUCGCAUCGAUGAAGAACGCAGGCGAAAUGCGAUAAGUAAUGUGAAUUGCAGAAUUCAGUGAAUCAUCGAAUCUUUGAACGCACCUUGCGCCCUCUGGUAUUCCGGAGGGCAUGCCUGUUUGAGUGUCAUGAAGACUUCAACCCCUCGGGUUUUUCCCGGGGAGGCUGGACUUGGGCGCUGCCAUUCACUUGGCUCGCCUCAAAUGCGUCAGUGGUGAUCAGACCAAUGACCGGAGUAAUAAGUUUCUCUGGCCUGUCGGUCGACGAUGGCUGCUCAUAACCCGCCCUCGGGCAUCUAUGACUCUGACCUCAAAUCAGGUAGGACUACCC